GAACGGUUACGGACUGGUCGGGCGAAAUGCUCUGUACCGUUUGUGCCGUUCUCCUUAUGGGAUACUCACCUCUGUCCUUAACUGGAUGGAGGUAAAAGAGGUGGUGAGCUCUUGGGGGAGAAAGGGGGGGAUCCGUCUUCUCCUUUCUUCUUCAAUCAUCAUCUUGGAGUUCCCAUUCGUUUACUUUGAAUAAAUUAGAGUGUUCAAAGCAGGCAAUCGAGCCUUGAAUACAUUAGCAUGGGAUAAUGGAAUAGGACAAGGAUCCUGAUUUCGUUGGUUUCUAGGAUCUUAGUA
Molecule: ribosomal RNA, 294 nt
Filed under: uncultured fungus
Lineage: Eukaryota; Fungi
Description: partial small subunit ribosomal RNA
Rfam family: Eukaryotic small subunit ribosomal RNA (bases 135-294)
Source: RNAcentral